ACCUAUUGGACCCGGGGGCGGUACCCGGCGCCUCCACCAAAAUAUAAACAACCAAAAUUAUAUUUUGGUGGGGGCGAAAUAGGAUCGACAAGGGUGUAAAGAUCGCUCUUUUACUCGGCAUUGUACCACCGUUAUCGGGCUAAAUGAGUAGUUGCAAAUGACAACUAUGCGGAAGCACGUCUCGCCGCCUAAGGUGGUGUGAAUGUUUCAAAUUGACUCUUAAACCGUCGCAGGUUUAAGCGGGGUUGGAA
This 251-nucleotide transfer-messenger RNA is filed under the name uncultured Bartonella sp. Its description in RNAcentral is "partial ssrA". It matches the Rfam family "Alphaproteobacteria transfer-messenger RNA", at positions 81 to 329 of the family's 355-position model. From Rfam's summary of the family: Bacterial tmRNA, also known as 10Sa RNA or SsrA, is named for its dual tRNA and mRNA-like properties. Lineage: Bacteria; Pseudomonadati; Pseudomonadota; Alphaproteobacteria; Hyphomicrobiales; Bartonellaceae. The record is from RNAcentral.